AAUGAACCCAACUAGUAUCCAUGAGAAUGCAGGUUCGAUCCCUGGCCUAGUGCAGUGGGUCAGUGAUCUGGUAUUGCCAUGAACUGUGGUGUAGUUCUCAGACACGGCUCGGAUCCUGUGAGGCUGUGGCUGUGCCUGUGGCUGGCAGCUGCAACUCCUAUUUCACCCCUAGCAUGGGAACUUCCAUAUGCCACAGGUGCAGCCCUGAAAAAGCAAAAAAAGAAAAAAAAAAAAGAAUAUUCGUAUCUUCUACUAUUUGCCAACCAUCCAAAUAUCCAACCAUGAGGGCAUUUAAAUGGCUUCAGCUGAUGUCGGUGUGGGGCAGGGUCUGUUUGUUAGCAGAGGUACCUGGCCAGCCACCAGCCACCAGACCUCAGGGCCAUCUUCCUGCUCAGUUUCUCUCUGGGAAACCAAUGAUCAGAACAUUCUUUCCCCACCAGCCCUGACACAGCCUCCAAUUCCUCCAUAAUCUAUAGCACACCAGGAAGCCAGCUCAGUCCCAGCAAGAGGAAUCUUAGUUGACAAUCCCGUGGGGUUGUCAUGGAGGCCCUUCUUUGUGAACAAUAUGGGGUAGUUUAAGGGUCUGUGCUCUGCAGCCAGACCUCCUGGACUUGAAUCCACACUGCCACUCUGCACUCUGAUCCUUGUCAGCUGUGUGACCUUGAGCUAAGAUUCCUUCACCCCUCAAGGCCCCAUGUUCUACCACUAUAACGUGAGGAUGAUGAUGAGAUAACUUGGGGAUUUUCAAGGAGUGGAUGUAGGUGUUAUACUAUAUAGAGCUGUAUCUGCUGUAUUAAUAAGCACGCCCUAAGUUUGGCUCUAACCUGUCAUUCCCCAAACAUAUGCUGAGAGCCUGCUAUAUGCCAAGUGUUGUUCUAGAUGCUAUAUAGGGACACAGUUGAAAAGAUGCACUUCCAUCCCCUAUAUUCUCAGCCAACCAGGAAUGAGAAACAAGGACGCAAAUCAAUGCAGUAGAGUUUGACGAUGAAAAUGCACAUUUGUGUGAGAUUACGUGAACGCGCAGAGCAUCUGCGCAGGGUCGUUAAGGAGGGCACGAAGGGCUUCAUGGAGGAGACCACAUCAGAGCCAGCUCUUACAGGUGGAGCGGGAGUGUGGCAGAUGCAUCAGCAAAGAUGCAGAGCUAGAGCCCAGCAUGGCCUGUGUGGGGCACUGUAACAUGCGUGGCGGUGACAAAGCAGGAACAGGGGAGGUGGGACACUCAGGCAAGGGCCCUGGAUGCAGCUCCUAGGAGCUCAGACAGUUCAUCCGAGUGUUGAGGGCUCCCUAACAGUUGUGAGAUUCAGCAAAAGAGGAGAGAAAUUGAGAUGGAGGCUUUUUGUUGCACUUUGAGCUACUAGGUUUAUCUUUAAGAGAAAAUGAAAAAAAUCUGAAUAUUUGAAUAUUCAGAAAUGAAUAAAUCUGAUCUACCCUAAAAACUAAACUUUCGGGAGAUCGGUGUUAGACCUGAGUUUCAGUACAUUAAAAUAGACUAUUGGUUUGCGAGCUAAUUCUAUUUAGAUAUGUGGAAUAUUUUUUUAACUUGCAGAUUCUUCCGACCCAAGUUCUCCAUCCAAGGGAAAUUCAUUUAGCCUGAAGGUUCUGUACCAAUUACCUAGUUUUAUAAGGUCAAAAUAAAAGUUGAGAGUCAUUUUAUCUUCAUCUAUCUGGGUAGAAAUUACAGAAUCAAGCUGCUUUAAUGAGAAAAAGCACCAGGAAGGGAAAAGUGAAAAUAGAAGUGUCAGCACCAUGAGAGAUUUCUGCUGCCUCCGGAUUCUGAGAGAUGAGGCCAGGGAUGCGCUGUGAAGUCUUUUGACAACACAGUCUCUAUCCAUGAACAAGUUGCCAGGGCUUCAAGAGGCAGAGACAUGAAACACAACAUCCUUCCACCCUUAUUAAGAUUUAAUCCCGCUUUCAAUAGGAUUGCCAUGUUAUUAAAUUAGAUUUUUUUUCCCUUCCUUAAAAAGGGAUUUAACUUUUGCUUUCCUGACAUCAUAAUCAACACGGAACAGAUGCAAAGGGGAAAUUGUGUGACCACUGGUAAUACAGACCUAUACUUAACAUGUAGCAUGUGAAGUUAUUAAAAUGGAAAUUAAUUCUCUUUAUUGCUAUCGUACCCUAUCAAUUAAUUCGGUUGGAGGUGUUUAUGAAUAUGCAAUCAUCCCUCCCUAUUGCCUGCCCCUUAUUCUAUGUGCAGAAAGCCUUGGUAAGGCAAUAUGUAAAAUUUUCAAUUCUUUGGCUAAUUUCCUGGCACUUUUUGCUCCCCAAUAAUAUCGAUAACGGGAUAACUAAAAGUUACUCAGGAUUUUUCUACAUGCCAGUCACUGUUCCAAGCACUUUACGUUCAUUGCCUUAUUCAGUCCUUACACAGUAAUUUGGGAGGUGGGUAAUUUUAUUAUCUCUUUACGAGGAAGAGGAAGGUGAGGCCCAGAGAGGUGGACCUUCCCCAGGUCACCAAGGCAUUCUGACUCCAAAAUCCACACCCUUCUCUGCUGUGCUGCACUGUCUUUUAUAGGUUACAGAGAAGGGACUGAAACAAGGUCAUAAAUCUCUAGACAUCAAGCUCUUGUAGGCUGGAGGGGACCUGGGAGGGGAUAGAGAGCCCUGGAUUGGGGGCACUUGUUUUAAAAUAUAGAUUAUUUUAUUAUGGAUUUAAUAAUAUGGGUUUAUUAUUAUUUAAGUAUGGCAGAGCCAUGAGCCAAGGAGAAAAUUGCCAUUGUAGUUUAUACCAAUAAGAGGGGACAUGCCAUACCAGGGAGUCUGUACCGACAGGAAACUCCAUACUUGGUCAGGAGGCAGAGGGAGAGGUGGGAAAACUUGGGUAAAAGCCUUUUUUGUGGUUUCCUGGGGGAAGAACAAGAGGCAAGGUGAACAGUUUUAAGACUGGUGGGUUGAGUGAUUUGAGUGCGUUCUGGGGCAUAGGGGCCUGGAACCUAGCCUAGGAAUGAUUAGGGCAGAUUAUCCUGGCCCAGGAUGUUCGAGGUUGGGGUACAGGAUCUGAACUGGCUGGUUUGCAUUUGAAAAGUGUGCUAUGGACCAACUGUUUACUAUCUCUGGGGCUAGAUAACCCUGGGAGGGACAGUCCCUGCAAUACCAAGACCCCAGAUGUCAAAGCAUCAAAAAUGCAGAAAACAAGACACGGUUAAUAGAGGGAGCGCCCAGUAGGGGGUGCUGUGGGAGGACCUCAGAAGAUCCACAGGCAGGAAGGAGGAGGGCAGGGAGGGCCCGGUAGCCUAGUCUAGUAAGCAAGGCCUGAAUGUACAGUGGUCCUCAUGAUGCCUGGGAGGGGGCAGGGAAUUAUGGAUUCUGCAUUAAGCUUCAGAGUAUCUUUCAGUCUUCUGAUAUAAUCCAUAAUACAGCUUUAACUUAAUAUGCAUAUUAAACAUUGAGGUGGGGGAGAUGAUGACUCAUCUUUUCAGCUGGACAUUUUCUCCGUGGUAGCAGAGACCCCAUUUUGAUCAUCCUUGAACACCCUGCAGAUUCGGAUGGGAGACGUGCUGUCCCAGAACGGGAGGACCCUGCUUCUUAUCCUGUCUGUAAGUCCUGGGUCUCCUCCUCAUGCACCAUUUUCAAAGUGUGGUUUUGGUAACAGGGAAACUGUUAACCCAACCGAGAGGAAAUCCAGGUGAGGGAUCACGGUCGUGGAUGAGUGCUCGGUUGGUAACCCCUGAUUCACACUUGCUUCUUUGUUUUGGAAAACCAAAGAAAAAUGAUGUAAGAUAAACCAAGAUGGCACUACGGGGGACCCGACUACAGGUUUGCUGUGCAGAUACUUGGACAAUGAGAUGAUCUGUACAUCGCUUGUAUAGACUUUAAUUUUUUAAAUUUUUAUACAGUUUUUAGAGGUCACUUUCCAUUCACAGUUAUCACAGAAUAUUCGCUCUAUGCCCCAUGUUGUAUAAUGUAUCCUUGAACCUGUCUUAUACCCAGAAGUUUGGCCUCCCACCCUCUGCCUCUCCACUGGUAACCACUGCUUUGUUUUCUCUAUCCAUGAGGCUGCUUCUUUUUUGUUAUAUUCACUAUUUUGUUGUAUUUUUUUUUUUUUUUUAGAUUCCACAUAUAAGUGAUAUCAUACAGUAUUUGUCUUUUCCUAUCUUAUUUCACUUGGCAUUAUGCCCUCCAAGGCCAUCCAUGUUGCUUCAGUUGGCAAAAUUUCAUUCUUUUUAUGGCUGAUUAACUUUCCUGUGUGUGUGUGUAUAAAACAUAUAUAUUUGUUUUACACACACACACACACACACACACACACACACAUCAGCUGGGCAGCCCCACUCUAUAGAGUAAUUCCCACCUUAUUAACCCAUGGUUUCAAAGAUAACCUAGGUUAGACUUCCUGGAAGCAGACCCUGAAACCAAGAUUUCAUAUGGAAGUCAUUUACUAGGUAGUUUUCUUGGGGGCGGGGGGUGGGGACUGGAAUAGAGGAGUUCAGCUAGUGGCUCAGCAGUAAAGAACCUGACUAGUAUCCAUGAGGAUGUGGGUUUAAUCCCUGACCUCAUUCAGUGGGUUAAGGAUCUGGCAUUGCCAUGAGCUGUGGUGUAGGUGGCAGACAAGGCUUGGAGCCCACAUUGCUGUGGCUGUGGCAUAGGCCAGCAGCUGCGCUCUGAUUCAACCCCAUAGCCUAGGAACUUCCAUGUGGCACAUGUGCAGCCCUAAAAAGACAAGAAAGUAAGUAAGUAAGUAAAUAAGAAAGAAAGGAAGGAAGGAAGGAAGAAGGAAGAAAAGGAAGGAAGG
This 4726-nucleotide long non-coding RNA is filed under the name Sus scrofa (pig). RNAcentral's name for it is "lncRNA (ENSSSCG00000060087.1)". The record is from RNAcentral. Lineage: Eukaryota; Metazoa; Chordata; Mammalia; Artiodactyla; Suidae.